Long non-coding RNA from Callithrix jacchus (white-tufted-ear marmoset), 5057 nucleotides. The record is from Ensembl. NCBI's taxonomy places the organism in Eukaryota, Metazoa, Chordata, Mammalia, Primates, Cebidae.
AUGGACAAAAAUAAAAUCUCUGAUGUGGCCCAAGCCUUCUCACCCUCUCACCAAGUCUCCAGCCUUUCUAUGCUGUUUCAUACAUCAGAUCCUUUACCCUUCUUCUCCCUUAGGCAUUACAAAAUCAAGUUAACUGUACUCUGCCCAGGGUGGCUGGAGCUCGACAUUGCCCUGAAUGCACGUGCUGGUUCUGCUUCCCCACCACCAGGGUUUUUUUCUCAUGCACCAAGAAGUCCGGAAGCAGACAGCCCAGGGCUGCCACUGCUGCUCAGAGAAAUCACCAAGGACCAGGCUGUUUCUAACGUCCUUCUCUGAUAACCUCAGCGACCACUUUUGAUCUUCCUGGUGGUAAGAUGACUGUUCUACUCUAGGCGUUGCGUCUGGGGCCCAGGCAAAGAGAAGGAGCAGGGCAAAGGGGCAAAGGUGCAUGCCAACUGAGUUUUGCCUUUAUACCAAGAAAAUAAUUGCUUUCCUAGAAGCCCCACUCACCAGACUUCCUCUGUCAUCUUGCUGGCCAGAACUCGAUUGGGUGACCACUUCUUUCCGAGCACAUGGCUUUCCUAAACAAAAUUGGCAUGCUAUUAGAAAGGAGGAGGAGAUGGAAGAAGAUGAGAGAAACAACCAGCCGUGCCUACCACUCCUUCAGCCUAUUCCAGUCCGUUGGAACUUAACCCUCCUCUGAGCAACUAUUUACAGUCAUCCCGCCCUAUCCUGAGGGGACACUUUCCAAGACCUCCAGUAGAUGCUUGAAACCAAGGAUAGUAUCAAGCCUUAUAAAUACUGUUUUUUUCCUUAUAUGUACAUACCUGUAACAAAGUGUAACCUAUUAAUUAGGCACAAUAAGAGAUUAAUGAUUAUAACUAAUAAAAUAAAGCAUUUAUAACAAUAUACUGUAAGAAAGGUUAUGUAAAUGCAGUCUCUCUCUUUCUCUCUCAAAAUACCCUAUUAUAUUGUACUCAGCCUUCUUCUUGUGAUGUGUCCACGGUUGGAUGUCAGGAGCAGACAAUGUCAAUAAUUAACGGCUAGGUAGCACAUACAGUGUGGAUACACUGGACAAAGGAGUGAUUCAUAUCCCCACAGGACAGAGUGGGGCGGUGUGAUAUUUCAUAACGCUGUUCAAAAUGGUAUGUAAUUUAAAACUUAUAGAUUGAUUAUUUCUGAAAUGCUUAAUUUAGUAUUUUCAGACCAUGGCUGAUCAUGGGUAACAAACCAUGGAAAGAAAACUGCUGAUAAAGAAAAUACUGUAUUGCGGCCGGGAGUGGUGGCUCACGCCUGUAAUCCCAGCACUUUGGAAGGCUAAGGUGGGCGGAUCACUUGAGGUUGGAAGUUCGAGACUAGCCUGACCAACAUGGAGAAACCCCAACUUUAAAAAAAUAAAAAAAAAGAAAAUACUGUAUUACAGUUUGUGUGCAGCAAGAGUCCACGUCUAUAUCCCCCAUAAUACAGUGCUGAGCACAUGGUAAAUGUUCCAUUGACUAAUACUACAAAUUCCAUAUAGGCAACAUGGCGUAAUGGUACUAGCUAGGCUUUGGAGUCAAGUAGCCUGUGCUUGAAUCCCAACUCAGCCACUUGCCAUUUAUUAGUCCUGUAAACUUGACCAAGUACUUAACCUCUCUGUUCUUCAAUUUCCCCAUCUGUAAAAUGCAAAUAAUGUGUUAAUACAUAUAGACAAGCCUUGGCAUUCUGGGGAUUGGUCCCAGGGCGCCCCCUAUACCAAAAUCUGUGAAUGUGCUAGUAUCUUUCAUAAAAUGGCAUAGUAUUUGCAUAUAACCUACCCACAUCCUCUCAUAUUCUUUAAAGCAUCGCUGGAUUACUUACAAUACCUUGAUCCAAUGCUUACACAUCACUUUAUUCAUGUGGAGUCAAUGUAGUACUCAGUGCCUGGUAAUUUCAAGUUUUUCUCUAUGGAAAUUUGUGCGAUUUCCCCCCAAAUGUUUUUUGUCUGAGGUUAGUUGAAUCUACAGAUACAGAACCCACAGACAUGGAGGGUUGCCUGUACUUAAUGCAGUUGUUAUAAGGAUUAAAUUAGAUUAACCCUAAUAUUAAUUUAAUAAAUUAACUUUAAUAGAACAGCUACAAUAGUAAGCACUAUGUAAGUGUGUAUUCAAUGAAUACAUGAUUGUCACCUAUGGUUAAAACAUUACCAGAAAUUGGGACCCAGAAUUUGACAAGUUAGAGCAUCUUCAUGGACUAAAGGAACAGAAUGGUUGAAGCCAGGACUGCUGAGGUCGAUUAAGAUGCAUGCUACAACCGCAGGUGAGACAUCAAUAAAGGGACCUAGUGACAUGUGGGUCAGAGUUGAGGCUUUAAGGUUAGGAUGCCAAAUCCAGCCACUAGCUUCCUACUUAUUAACUGUGCUCCCUGGGCAAAUCACUGAAUCUGUCUAAGGUUCAGUUUUCUCAUAUGUAAAAUUAGGAUAAAAAUAAACAGAGCCUCCCCUUAGGUGUUUUGAAGAUUAAGUAGAAAACUAUGUAGGGUACUUAACAUUAUCCACGGUAUGUCUGAAUAAAUGUUCAUUUUGUUAAGAAUCAGGACCUAUAAUUGAGAAGCCAACUGGACCAUUUGACCUUGGCUGAAGGGGGUGCAGGAGUGCAGAAUGAAGUUUUGCCAUGAAUGUAGAUUCUCCCUUACAAAUCUUUCCAUUUUCAAACCCGAGGCGAGAAAUUGGAGCUGAGGGAAAAGUAUCCGAGCUGCAAAGUUGUUUGGCCUUCCUGGGGCGUUAUGAGGCACAGGAAUGAGCCAGUGCCCUCUAGUUUGAGUUCUGACAAUGGAUUCUUUUUUUAAAAAAUGGAACAAAUGGAGCUCUCCUAAGAAACAUUUACUUUAUUUUCUUAGACUGGCAAUAUAGAGCCAGGUGCAGUGGCUCACUCCUGUAAUUCCCACACUUUGAGAAGCCAAGGCAGGAGAAUUGCUUGAGUGCAAGACUUCAAGAACAGCCUAGGCAACUUAGUGAGACCCACCCCCCAUCUCUACAAAAAUAUUUAAAAAUCAGCCAGGCAUCGUGGCUCAUGCCUGUGGUCCCAGCUACUUGGGAGUCUGAAGUGGGAGGAUUGAUUGCUUGAGCUGAGGAGGUCAAGGAUUCAGUGAGCCGUGAUUGUGUCACUGCACUUCAGCCUCGGUGACAGAGCAAGACCCUGUUUCACAAGGAACAAAAACAAACAACAACAACAAAAAUAACUGGCAUAUAGCAGACAAUUGUUAUCUCUGGAAGCUCAUCCACUCCCAUCUCCUAUAAGAUAUGUCACACACACACACUCUUCCAGGAAACUAAGAGGCUAAAUAUUUUAGCCAACAUCAUGGAGUUAGUGGAAUCUAAACCCCAGAUUUAUAACUAUUUUUUUUUUAAAAAAAGGAUCUUGCUUUAUCACCCAGGCUGGUGUGCAGUGGCAUAAUCACAGCUCACUACAGCCUCAACCUCCCAGGCUCAAGCGAUCCUUCCACCUCAGCUUCUUAGUAGCUGGGAUUACAAGUGUGCACCACCACACCUGGCUUUUCAAAUUUUUUAUUUGUUGCAGAAAUGAGGUCUUGCUAUGUUGCCCAUGUUGGUCUCAAACUCCUGGCCUCAAGUGAUGCUCUCACCUGAGCCUCAUAAAGUGCUGAGAUUACAGAUAUGAGCCACUGCGCCAAACCCUUCUACCUUUAAAUUUGUGGUUUGUUACAUUUCAAAACAAUUUUCUCUGUUAUGAAAUCAAACGUAAUGUGCGUUUCCUAUAAUCUCUACCUAAACUCCUCCUCUUAAAUAGCUUAUGAUAUACUGUUGCAAACAGAAAUAGAUGCCCUAGACAGAAGAUCAGAUGUCUUCAAUCCUAUUAUCCACGUAUCCCUAAUUCCAUGAGAAGUUUCAGAGGGCAACAUAUGUGUGGAAGGGAGUGUGGAGCCAAGGGACAUUUUGAUAGACCUUGGGCAUUGGCCUCAAACACUACUACACUCCACUGGCAGGCAAGGCUAAGUCAGGUUACGUGGCCCAGAGCCUAGAAAUAAAAUGGGUAAUAGCCUACAUGACCUCCUCUCUAAGUGCCACCUGAGUCUCAGCCCCGCUCAUCCCAGCACUCAAUGGUCAGGUAAGACCAAUCCAGUGAUAAUCAGAAGAGGUGACAGAGAGAGCUUGUGUGUGUGCCAAUGUACAGGUCAGAGCUGCUCUGGGCAGCCAGCCCCAGCCCUCAGAUAAACUCAGCACAGCCCUUCUUGCUUACCCAGGAAGAUGGGAAAGGGAGAGAGUGAAGAAGCAAGAGAGAAUAAAAUGAAGAAGCUCAGACUUCUCCUUCUUCCUUUCCUCUCUAGAAGAAAACCAUCUCAAGAGCCAGAAGUGGUAUAGGCGCCUAAGUCAGGCUUAUUCAAGCUCCACUUGUAAUGCUCCAUGCCCUAAAUAAUAUGACUCAAGACUGUCCCUGAACAUGGCUGAUCCACGGGAACAUCCUUCCCCCUGGAUAGUCUCAGAGGUGGGUUAGGGGAGCACCAUGAGCUUUUUCAGCCUACAAGCCAACCUAUUUUAUUUUAUAUUCUAAUGUCACUAUGUCAGAACUUAAUAGCACUGUAUGGAAAAAUAAAUCAUUGGGUUUUUGUGAUGAGCCUUUGAAACUUCCUUCCCGCUGCGGAUGUGCCACAUAUUCCUUACAAGCAGACAUAAUCCAUGUUUCGGAAUGAAUUUAUAAUACAAAACCUUCAAAGGGUGGCAUGCAAGUUCCACAGACUUCAUUUUUACAACAGGGAAAGAAUCUUUCCCGGAAAAGAUUUGAAGACGUGAAUGCUAAGUGAGCAGUGCUAUUAUAUGCAUGUGCAACGGAAAAGUCUCCCAGUCUUUGGUAAAUGGUGCAGUAGAGCAGAGCUGGUUUUAAUUAUGUAGAAAUGAUUGAUUACAGUAAAAACUCAACCUGGAAAAUUGCCUCAGAGUUAGAGUAAAGAAUUCGUAAGAAUUUAAAGUUGGCAGAGACCAAAGUGAUCAUAUUAUUUACUGGUACCCUAGGUUUUAUUUAAUCCAGUCAACAAAUACUUAUCAAUGCCUAUUACGUGCAGGAAAUACAAGUACAAAAAUCUUUUUUUUAAUAUUAAGAAAGGUC